UACAGAGGUCCCAAGCGUUGUUCGGAUUCACUGGGCGUAAAGGGUGCGUAGGUGGUGAGGUAAGUCGGAUGUGAAAGCUCGGAGCUCAACUCCGAAAUGGCAUUGGAAACUACCUUGCUCGAGGGUUGGAGGGGGGACUGGAAUGCUUGGUGUAGCAGUGAAAUGCGUAGAUAUCAAGCGGAACACCAGUGGCGAAGGCGGCAUCCUGGACCGGUAUUGACACUGAAAAGCGAAAGCCAGGGGAGCAAACGGG
RNAcentral lists this ribosomal RNA (253 nucleotides) under uncultured bacterium. RNAcentral's name for it is "partial 16S ribosomal RNA". It matches the Rfam family "Bacterial small subunit ribosomal RNA", at positions 524 to 776 of the family's 1533-position model. The record is from RNAcentral.